UUUCGGUUCUAUUUUGUUGGUUUUCAGGAUCGAAAUAAUGAUUAAUAGGGAUAGUUGGGGGCAUUAAUAUUUAAUUGUCAGAGGUGAAAUUCUUGGAUUUAUGAAAGAUUAACUUCUGCGAAAGCAUUUGCCAAGGAUGUUUUCAUUAAUCAAGAACGAAAGUUAGGGGAUCGAAGACGAUCAGAUACCGUCGUAGUCUUAACCAUAAACUAUGCCGACUAGGGAUUGGCGGAUGUUAUUUGAUGACGCCGUCAGCACCUUACGAGAAAUCAAAGUUUUUGGGUUCCGGGGGGAGUAUGGUCGCAAGGCUGAAACUUAAAGGAAUUGACGGAAGGGCACCACCAGGAGUGGAGCCUGCGGCUUAAUUUGACUCAACACGGGGAAACUCAC
RNAcentral lists this ribosomal RNA (390 nucleotides) under Eukaryota sp. RNAcentral's name for it is "SSU rRNA". It matches the Rfam family "Eukaryotic small subunit ribosomal RNA", at positions 828 to 1218 of the family's 1831-position model. The record is from RNAcentral.